Molecule: transfer-messenger RNA, 406 nt
Filed under: Patescibacteria group
Lineage: Bacteria
Also listed under: 1 other name
Description: 1-14-0-10-36-19 sp002772535 Standard tmRNA
Rfam family: transfer-messenger RNA
About the family: Bacterial tmRNA, also known as 10Sa RNA or SsrA, is named for its dual tRNA and mRNA-like properties. Its role is to liberate the mRNA from a stalled ribosome.
Source: RNAcentral
GGGGAUGUAUUGGUAUUCGAUAGGAUGGUUUUAAGUGCAGUAUGUUGCAGUUCAGGGGUUGCUCUGUCCCCCUGUAGAUCCGUCAGAGCAAAUUAAGUGCUAAUAACACUGUUUCUGAGCAAAACUACAAAUACGCUUUUGCGCGUGUGCCAGCUUUUGCUUAAUUUCCGACUUUUUUCGGAAUCGUUCAUACUUGGGAUAUCUGCUAGCUUGUAUGGGCGUAAUUUAGCGGGUUAAGGUUUUAUACUUUCUUCUAGGGUAUAGAGCUCGAAAAUUUUUUAGAAUAAGCGAUGUUGUUUUUUGUUUUUCCUUUAUGCCAUCGACGAAAAUUUUAGGAAAAAAUAUAACUGUAGAAGCUACUCCACUUCAUCUCUACACCCGGGUUCGACUCCCGGCAUCUCCACCA